UUUUCCGUUACUACUAGCAGGACCGGCGAAAAGAGCAAGAGCAAACUUGUUCCCUUGGUCAUCAACACUAACACCAUCCUCCCUCAAGUCAACUAGAUCAUUAGUUACUUGCGGUUGCUCCGGCUUCACCUCUGGCUUUGGCGGCGGAGGUGGAGGCGGAGUGUAGUUCUCCGGAGGAGGAAGAGCUUUGAUCUCAUUCAUAUCAACCUCCGCCUCCUCCUCAGGAGCCGGAGCAGGAGGAGCUUCAAUCUCCUUCCGCUCCGGACUCUUCCCCCUCUUAGCUCUAUCCCUCACAAACUCCUCAAGCGUCUCCAACAACUUACU
This 324-nucleotide long non-coding RNA is filed under the name Brassica rapa (field mustard). RNAcentral describes it as "long non-coding RNA (BRAP_LNC000067)". Lineage: Eukaryota; Viridiplantae; Streptophyta; Magnoliopsida; Brassicales; Brassicaceae. The record is from RNAcentral.